This 468-nucleotide ribosomal RNA is filed under the name uncultured bacterium. RNAcentral describes it as "partial 16S ribosomal RNA". It matches the Rfam family "Bacterial small subunit ribosomal RNA", at positions 28 to 507 of the family's 1533-position model. The record is from RNAcentral.
GACGAACGCUGGCGGCGUGCUUAACACAUGCAAGUCGAACGGAAAGGCCCUGCUUUUGUGGGGUGCUCGAGUGGCGAACGGGUGAGUAACACGUGAGUAACCUGCCCUUGACUUUGGGAUAACUUCAGGAAACUGGGGCUAAUACCGGAUAGGAGCUCCUGCUGCAUGGUGGGGGUUGGAAAGUUUCGGCGGUUGGGGAUGGACUCGCGGCUUAUCAGCUUGUUGGUGGGGUAGUGGCUUACCAAGGCUUUGACGGGUAGCCGGCCUGAGAGGGUGACCGGCCACAUGGGGACUGAGAUACGGACCAGACGCCUACGGGAGGCAGCAGGGGGGAAUAUUGCACAAUGGGCGGAAGCCUGAUGCAGCAACGCCGCGUGCGGGAUGACGGCCUUCGGGUUGUAAACCGCUUUGGCCUGUGACGAAGCGUGAGUGACGGUAAUGGGUAAAGAAGCACCGGCUAACUACGUG